AGGGUUUGAUUAUGGCUCAGGAUAAACGCUGGCGGCGCACAUAAGACAUGCAAGUCGAACGGACUUAACCGAAAGUUUACUUUUGGAGCGGUUAGUGGCGGACUGGUGAGUAACACGUAAGCAACCUGCCUAUCAGAGGGGAACAACAGUUAGAAAUGACUGCUAAUACCGCAUAUGCCUAAGUAUCACAUGGUACAAUAGGGAAAGAAGCAAUUCGCUGAUAGAUGGGCUUGCGUCUGAUUAGAUAGUUGGUGGGGUAACGGCCUACCAAGUCAACGAUCAGUAGCCGGACUGAGAGGUUGAACGGCCACAUUGGGACUGAGAUACGGCCCAG
RNAcentral lists this ribosomal RNA (334 nucleotides) under uncultured bacterium. Its description in RNAcentral is "bacterial SSU rRNA". It matches the Rfam family "Bacterial small subunit ribosomal RNA", at positions 8 to 334 of the family's 1533-position model. The record is from RNAcentral.